GGGGGCCCGCAAGCGGUGGAGCAUGUGGUUCAAUUCGACGCAACGCGAAGAACCUUACCUGGGCUCGAAGCGCAGUGGACCGGGGUAGAAAUAUCCCUUCCCCUUAAAAGGCUGCUGCGGAGGUGCUGCAUGGCUGUCGUCAGCUCGUGUCGUGAGAUGUUGGGUUAAGUCCCGCAACGAGCGCAACCCUUAUCCCUAGUUGCCAUCGGGUCAAGCCGGGCACUCUAGUGAAACUGCCUCGGAUAACGAGGAGGAAGGUGGGGAUGACGUCAAGUCCUCAUGGCCUUUAUGUCCAGGGCUACACACGUACUACAAUGGUCGGUACAAACCGUCGCAAACCCGUGAGGGGGAGCUAAUCGGAAAAAGCCGGCCUCAGUUCGGAUUGGAGUCUGCAACUCGACUCCAUGAAGCUGGAAUCGCUAGUAAUCGCGGAUCAGAACGCCGCGGUGAAUACGUUCCCGGGCCUUGUACACACC
RNAcentral lists this ribosomal RNA (476 nucleotides) under uncultured bacterium. Its description in RNAcentral is "bacterial SSU rRNA". It matches the Rfam family "Bacterial small subunit ribosomal RNA", at positions 915 to 1391 of the family's 1533-position model. The record is from RNAcentral.